AUACGGAGGGGGUUAGCGUUGUUCGGAAUUACUGGGCGUAAAGCGCACGUAGGCGGACUGGAAAGUUGGGGGUGAAAUCCCGGGGCUCAACCCCGGAACUGCCUCCAAAACUUCCAAUCUAGAGAUCGAGAGAGGUGAGUGGAAUUCCAAGUGUAGAGGUGAAAUUCGUAGAUAUUUGGAGGAACACCAGUGGCGAAGGCGGCUCACUGGCUCGAUACUGACGCUGAGGCGCGAAAGCGUGGGGAGCAAACAGGAUUAGAAACCCGAGUAGUCC
Molecule: ribosomal RNA, 274 nt
Filed under: uncultured bacterium
Lineage: Bacteria
Description: partial 16S ribosomal RNA
Rfam family: Bacterial small subunit ribosomal RNA
Source: RNAcentral